Long non-coding RNA from Folsomia candida, 867 nucleotides. RefSeq lists it as uncharacterized. The record is from RefSeq and is a predicted model, not a curated record. The transcript is spliced from 2 exons. NCBI's taxonomy places the organism in Eukaryota, Metazoa, Arthropoda, Collembola, Entomobryomorpha, Isotomidae.
AAAUAAAUUUAGGGAAUUUCAACCCUUUAUUACAUAUAUUUAAGAUUAGUUCGUACAAUGAGAAUUCCAAACACAACUAUUCUAAAAAAAACGGAAUAAUCAUCAUACAAAUGCAGCUAUAAUUAGGCCAUGAUUUAAAAUAUGCCGAAAACUUAGAGAUAUAAUUUCGUAUUUCAUUCAUUCACGAAAAACUGAAAGAAAUGGCUUUAUAUGAUAAGGAAAUAAGAAGAUUCAGCCUAACCUGACACCUAAGUUGUUGACAUACCCACGACGCCAGGUAAUGGGUUGGGAUCCUCCCUGGGGCUGUGGGUAUGUCAACGCGUCCCUAACCUUACCGAUGCCAAGUGCUAGGAAAUGACUGAAAAUAAAGAACCUUCCCAACCCGGUUUAGUCUCCCACGGCGGUGGAUCUUCUUGGGAGGAGGACUUUACUUGUGUCAUCAGGGGUAGGAAUUAAACACUGCCUCUGACUCACUCUGCUUCAUGACCACGUUAUUUAGUACAAUGACAAGUCAAUAAAUAAUUCUUAGGAAGAGAUUUGUAGAAUAAUACAUGCUUAUGUAAGAAUAUUUUAACUACCUGAAGGUGGGAAAUUUUAUCAAAAUAUUAUUUUAAAUUGAGAUUAAUGUUUAUUCUAUUGUUGAUCAUAGUGUAUAGUUUAUAUUUUUUCCAUUUUCGAUGGAAACUGUCCAUCAAAACUUUCCCACCUCGCAUGCAAACAUGGAAUUCAGACAAUAUUCGUCCGAAAACCAUGUGCCUAAAGUGGGACAAAUAAUCAAAAUUGUCCCCAAAGUGAUUUAGAAAGUGAACAUAGGACUUAUAUAUCGUGCAAAGACCAUAAUAAAUAAAUAUAUUAUCGUACUUCAUA